This 468-nucleotide ribosomal RNA is filed under the name uncultured bacterium. RNAcentral's name for it is "partial 16S ribosomal RNA". It matches the Rfam family "Bacterial small subunit ribosomal RNA", at positions 28 to 507 of the family's 1533-position model. The record is from RNAcentral.
GACGAACGCUGGCGGCGUGCUUAACACAUGCAAGUCGAACGGAAAGGCCCUGCUUUUGUGGGGUGCUCGAGUGGCGAACGGGUGAGUAACACGUGAGUAACCUGCCCUUGACUUUGGGAUAACUUCAGGAAACUGGGGCUAAUACCGGAUAGGAGCUCCUGCUGCAUGGUGGGGGUUGGAAAGUUUCGGCGGUUGGGGAUGGACUCGCGGCUUAUCAGCUUGUUGGUGGGGUAGUGGCUUACCAAGGCUUUGACGGGUAGCCGGCCUGAGAGGGUGACCGGCCACAUUGGGACUGAGAGACGGCCCAGACUCCUACGGGAGGCAGCAGUGGGGAAUAUUGCACAAUGGGCGGAAGCCUGAUGCAGCAACGCCGCGUGCGGGAUGACGGCCUUCGGGUUGUAAACCGCUUUCGCCUGUGACGAAGCGUGAGUGACGGUAAUGGGCAAAGAAGCACCGGCUAACUACGUG